Acyrthosiphon pisum (pea aphid) is the source of this 1252-nucleotide non-coding RNA. The record is from Rfam. Lineage: Eukaryota; Metazoa; Arthropoda; Insecta; Hemiptera; Aphididae.
UCCCUGGUUGAUCCUGCCAGUAGUCAUAUGCUUGUCUCAAAGAUUAAGCCAUGCAUGUCUCAGUGCAAGCCGCAUUAAGGUGAAACCGCGAAAGGCUCAUUAAAUCAGUUGUGGUUCCUUAGAUCGUACCCAAGUUACUUGGAUAACUGUGGUAAUUCUAGAGCUAAUACAUGCCGACAGAGUUCCGACCGUCGCGGCGCCCUCGGGCGUCGCUCGCGGGAGGAACGCUUUUAUUAGAUCAAAACCGGCCCGUCGCGGCGCGCUUCGUGCGCGUCCCGAUCGCGGCCCGCGCAAGACCUGGUGACUCUGAAUAACUUCGAGCUGAUCGCACGGUCUCCGUACCGGCGACGCAUCUUUCAAAUGUCUGCCUUAUCAACUGUCGAUGGUAGGUUCCAUGCCUACCAUGGUGGUAACGGGUAACGGGGAAUCAGGGUUCGAUUCCGGAGAGGGAGCCUGAGAAACGGCUACCACAUCCAAGGAAGGCAGCAGGCGCGCAAAUUACCCACUCCCGGAACGGGGAGGUAGUGACGAAAAAUAACGAUACGGGACUCAUCCGAGGCCCCGUAAUCGGAAUGAGAACACUUUAAAACCUUUAAACGAGGAUCAAUUGGAGGGCAAGUCUGGUGCCAGCAGCCGCGGUAAUUCCAGCUCCAAUAGCGUAUAUUAAAGUUGUUGCGGUUAAAAAGCUCGUAGUCGGAUCUGUGUCUGGACGGUGCCGGACCACCCUGGCGGUCCGUCGUGUCGCGGCCGGCCGUGUCGCGGGACCACGUGUCCCGUCGGCGCGGUCGCCGUCGCGCUCGUCAGCCGUCUCGGGGUGUUAGUUACCGGCACGUCGGCCGGACGUAUUGUCGGCAGGCGGACACGUGUCUCGUGCUUCCGGCGCGCCGCGCGGCCACGCGUCGCGCGGCCGUCGGUGUUCGACGACGGCGGCCGCCUACUCCAAUCUUGCUGCGCGGUGCUCUUCACCGAGUGCCGUCGGCGGGCCGACACGUUUACUUUGAACAAAUUAGAGUGCUCAAAGCAGGCUCGAAUCUGGCGGGGCGGCUUCACGGCCGUCUCGUCAAAAGGCCCUGAAUACUGGUCGCAUGGAAUAAUGGAACAAGACCUCGGUCCCGCGCAUCUCCGCCCUUCGCGGGCGCGCGAAAUCGCCCUCCGGGGCGUUUCCGUGCGCGGGCCGCCGGGCCGCGGGCGCCAGUCGCCCGCGCGUCCCGCCGGGCCGGUUUUCGGGACCGGAGGUAAUGAUCAACAGAGA